Non-coding RNA from Schizosaccharomyces pombe (fission yeast), 741 nucleotides. Lineage: Eukaryota; Fungi; Ascomycota; Schizosaccharomycetes; Schizosaccharomycetales; Schizosaccharomycetaceae. The record is from the annotation of a GenBank genome assembly.
CGAGGGCUCUCAGACCCGAAUUAAUUAGUCCAGCACUCGAUUUUGGUGCUGAACGCGUAGGUGUCGCAGCACCCGAAGAUGGUUUGGAAGAUUCUGCUAAUUCGUCAUUAACAACUCCUAACUUCUCUUUCUCUGCUUUUUCUCUGCGCUUCAUGGCUCUUGGGCCCAUUCCGUAAGGAGCCCGAGGUUUUUUCAUCUGGAAUGGCCGCUCUUGUGGUUUUGGUUGAGAAGAUGGUGAUGCAGUAAAGUUUUGCUUCUCUUUCAAGGAACUUAAAACUUCUCGAAACCUUUCAGUUGGCACUUUUAAAUGUAAUACUAAAGUUUCGCUCAUUAUAUGUUUAUAAUUACCCAAAUAUGUAAUUUGUAAGAGCACCAAGCAAAUAACUUUCGAACUCUUUUAACUAAAUCGAAAACACUGAUUAAAGGAUAAAAAACUUCUUAAACUUCCUUUUCUUUAAAUUUAUCUCUCUUCAAAUUAUUUAGCAAUAAGAUGGAAACCUUUCUUAAAGACCAAAAUUGAAAGGUAACUUGGAAUAAGAGAAGACAGGAAAAAAAUUUGAAUGCGAGGUGGAAAGUAUCAACUAAACGUGUUCCACCGUUGGGAUCUGCCGUCCCAUAGUUCGCCAGCUUGGACUUGGUGCACCGUCAUGUCUCCAGUGUAUAUACAUAAAAUUUCUUUAACGAACAACAUGCUUUGCAGUGAAGAUAAUUUUUCUACGAAUAAGCGCGCUUAAAUAUUUU